Episyrphus balteatus (marmalade hoverfly) is the source of this 3090-nucleotide RNA transcript. RefSeq lists it as uncharacterized. The transcript is spliced from 2 exons. Lineage: Eukaryota; Metazoa; Arthropoda; Insecta; Diptera; Syrphidae. The record is from RefSeq and is a predicted model, not a curated record.
AACAGUAUAGUUUAUAAAUCUAAGUGAAAUAUAUGAAAAUUUAAACUUCAAUUUUUAAGUGGAACUAUUUUAAGUAACCUCUAAAGACCACAACUAUAAGAAAACCUUUAGAAGAGAACAACAACAACAAAAACAUUUUUCUUCUUUUUUUCUAUACACAAACUUGACUCGACUUACUAUGGCUUUUACGGAAAAGCAACUUUUGUCACUGAGUUUAUAUUCGAACUUGCACGCGUUGAAACCAAUUAUUAAGGAAUGUGUACAUCAUCAGCAAUGAAUCUUGUCAUAGGUAAGCACAAAAAGACUAGAAUAAUAAGAUUGUUUCUCUAACAUCGUCCUCGCAUCCAAAUCAUCAUUUGUUAUUUCUGUCAAAACACAUUCCAAAAGGCCAACUCAGACAAUAUCUGUCUAUAUAUACCUAUAAUAAAAGCAAAGAAGGUAUCGUGCAACUUCCGAAUAAGGAGAAACAAAUUUAACAUUCCAACUUCUUCAUAACCAAAUGGAACAUACAUAAAAUUGCAACCAAACCAAACUAAGCCAAAAGCCAAACUGAUACAGGAAGGUAAAAUGUGAUGUUAGAAGAAUUGCUGCUGCAAUUCCUUUACCUUUCCACAUUUGGAUAUGUUCCAGCAGCACAGAAAACUUUAGUUGGAAUUGAUAUAGUCGCUUCGUUAAUCGUGGCUAUAUUCUGAAUUUGAAUAUUUGAAUUGUCGAUGUCAGGUAUGUGAAAAGUUGUUUAUCCAAAACAACAAGAUUUUAUAUUGUUGAUCAAAGUUGUAUAGUUUUGUGCAAACACAAAAGAGAAAUAAAAAACAUUUAAUCAGUAAAUGAUACAAAUUUGAAGUUUCAAACACUUAAUUUUACUUUACUAAUAAAAAUCAUAGAAAUCCAAUGACAAGUCUUCACAAAAUUUUAUUUGAAAGUUUUAAAUCACAAAUACUCUCAAAACUUAGACAGACCCUCAAAAUCCUAGAAAAAAAGUUGAUUGAACUAGAAAAAAAAUUCUAUCAUUCAAGGUACUUUCCGUGAUUGUUAGAAGGAAUCGACUCUAUACAAGCAUGUUUGGUUUCCUCUCUUUUAUCUACCUAUUGCUAUUGGUAUGAAAGUUCGUUGUUUUUCAAGAUAAAAAUUUUUUCGACGCAUUCAAUCGUCGAUUUCUCUACAGAACAUCGUGUAUUUUCUUCACCGAACAGUCAUAAACCAAGUAAAACUGAAAUUGAAAAAUUUUUGGAAAUGGAUUUUUUUUGAAUGACCUACCUAUAAAAUUUUAAAAUACAAAAAAGUGCCAAUAUAAAAUAAGGAUUUUGCAAUUUUUUUACUAACAAAAUUUCGAAUUUCAGAGAUCUAAGCCGAAAAUUUUAAUCUUAAACCAACUCAUUAUUGUAAAUUUUGGAAUUUUAGUCGAUGGAAAAAACAAUUAAAAACUCUUAGGAAAGAGAAAGUAACUAACUUUUGUAUACGUAGGUACUUUUAAUUUUAGUAAAAGCAAAAAUGACGUGUUGAAGAAGUUCAGUUCUAUUUUUAAUACUGAUUUAAGCGAAUGAGCGGCGAGAAUAAUUUUUCCCAUUUUCCUGAAUACUAUGAAGAAGAGUGAAUAUUUUGUAGAGCUCAAAAUGCAAGCAGAGAGAUCCUUUAGUUUUUUGACGUGAUAACGUCUUAUAAAUCGAUGAACCAUGACAGUAUCCACGAAAAAGAUACGCCAUUUUCUGAAAUUUUUAGCAGUGAGGCAAAAAUUGUAAUUCAAAAUUCAUUAAAAAUAAACUAUUGGAGAUACGAUACGUUGAUUUUUUGUUUAUCUAUAGAUAAAUUUAAUGUACGAUUAACAAUGGAAUUGAACAAAUUUUUUAAAAUUCCGAAACCAAAUUAUAAAUGUUUUUUUUAAACUAAAACAUAAAGUAGACCUUUGAAAAAGUAGUGAUUAUCGGAAGGGGAAAUUUGUUUUUUACAAUUUGAAAAAUACCAUUCAAAAGGUAAUAAAAAACGAUGAGGUGUCUAUUACGGAUUUUUUAUUUAAAUUUUUUUAUCAAGGUGCUUUUCAACAAUUUAAAUAAAUUGACAGACAACUUAGAAUAUAUUUAUGCAAAUAUAUAUACUAAUUAGUAACCUACUCGACUCCACUCACGAAUAGAUAUUGCGUGGAUGCGAGGUUUGGGUUUAUGUUAAGUUUUUUUAAAAAAAGACUUGUGAAGUUAUUCCAAAGUUUACUUUUCUAGAGAAGUUAAACAUCCAUUCAAACGAUUUACAAUAACAAAUUUUUGAUCGUUUUUAACGUAAUUCCUGUUUGAUAAGUAUAAUCUUGUGUUAAAUUUGUACUGCUUAUGUUACGUUGGCUUUUGCUUUUUCUUAUCAAUUGCUCUCUUUUUUGUUCUCUUUUUUUUCUUCUAGGUACUCUUUUUUUUUUUAAGGUUCGAGAGUAAAAUGUUCUCUUUUUAGUAAGGUCCCAAAUGGACACCCUAGAUAACGGUAAAAUAAAGUUCUAGGUAUAUUUCAACACGUUCUUUCUUUUGAUCUAGAGCAGAUAAGAAUUUUAUUUAACUUUAUUGAGCAUGCUGAUAAUAUUACCUUGCAUUUGAUAUAUCACGCAUAACGGUACAAAUGUUAAAUUAAAAAACUUCAGAAAUACCUCAAAACACCUGAGAUUUGUUGCCCAUGACCAGACCAGCCACCAGUGUGGGAAGUACCGUAUUCUCAGUUUAAAUUUUCGACAUGGUUGGAUUUAACAAAUUCUUACUUUUUUUGUAGGCAUCGUAGAAAUAUAGGUACAUAAUUGAAGAGCAAUAUAAAAGGUGAAAUAAUAAACUUUCAGAUGAUAUAAAAUUUAUUUUAGGUUGUCAUUUAAAAAAAAUGGACUUUAAGGUAAUUGAAAAAAAGAAGAUUGAUUUUCUUGCUUUUUUCUAUGAAAAUUGAUCGGGUUCAAAAUAUUUUAGCUCUUUUUUUAGAUGUGUUGCAGACAUGGUUGAUAUAAAUAUUUUUAGCUGAAACAAUAGGCUUUCAGAUGGUAUAAAAUUUAUAUUUAAAAAAUUGGAUUUAAUGGUUUUAGAAGAAAAAAAGUUUGAUUUUAUCAAUUUUUCAUGAAAAAUUAUUGUUUUC